UGAAGCUGCUGCAUUGUAACCCCCAUUCUCGACCAACCAUUAGAGAGGAAGAGAAAGAGUUCUUCUCUCUUCUCGGUUUUCGUCCAUUUCUGCACACCCAUUUUCUUUGCAUCAUAUCUCCUUUGUUUCUUAUCCGAAUUGAGCGUGUGAGUAGUCAAAAUCUAUCUACUCGGAAAGAUCUUGCUCGUGGUAUAAUUUUUUUUUGAAGAAAGAGGAAGACGCGACUGCAGUUUUCGUUGCAAUCAGACGAGUCAUCCGGUUUUUUGUUCCCUGUCACACCUUCACUAAAAUAACUGUAUCCAGAGAUCUAACCGUUGGAUCAUCUUAAAAUUUGUACAGAAAUUUUAUGACAUCUUGUUCUUUAUUUUGACCGGAGAGAUUUGGAAUCCGAGAUUUCGAUCACCGGUAAUCAUGGUCAGAACAGAGCAGUACGAAAAAAAUGAUUGUUCAACAUUUGAGAAGAAAAUGCCUACUGACUUGUUGCUACAAUUAUUGUUCAUGGAGGAGUUGGAUUGCUUGCAUAUUUCUCGAAUCUCGUUAUACUCAGCUCUCCUCCCGAUGAUCCAGGUUAUGUUGAUGGGAAUCUUCUUUGGUUUUGGGCUCGGGUUGAGUUGUGAGCAUUAAAAAGCUAGGUGUUUCAGGCCUAGACUUUUUAUUAGUUUGAUAGUCAGCUUAUCUCUUUUAGAUAUUACUCUAAUUAAUUUAACUUAUUUAUACUAUUUACUUAUGUUGGUUUAUCACUUAGUUAUGACAUCGCAUUUCUUGUAGUAGUGACAUUCCCAGAAGACGAUGUUUCCGCCAUCAUCCUAUUAAUACUAUUAUUAUUUCUUUCGUUUCCGCUUUGAAAUUUUGGGGUGUUACAGACUGGAUCCGACUUUUUUCCCGCCUUUUUUUAACGGAAAAAUCUUCUUUAAUGCAAAUAAUCUGAUCAUUUUUUAAUAAUUAUAUGGAAAUCUUAUAUAUUACAUAUAAUCUAAACAUUACUAUUAUUUUAACAAUCAUUUCUUCAAUGAAAAAUGCAAUUGUCUCAAAGUUUAAGGCAUAUUAUACAUGCAUAAUAAAUUAAUAUAAAUAAAAAAGGGAGAAAUUGACUUAAAGUCGGAGUCAAAUUCAAAUGUCGGACUUUUUUAUGAGAUUCGACUCCAACCCUCUACGACUCGGAGUCGGAAUUUUUAAACGAAUUACAUUCAGAUUUUUUUUUUUUAGGAAUCCACUCGAAUUUUUUCUUUUCGUAUUAGAGCAGACUAGGUUCGCGUCGGAAAUGGAUUGCCAUACCUAAAUAGGCUAAAUUGUCACUUGUCAGUGUCAUACUGCCAUCACUUGGCGCGCCAAAAUGCAUGCGCGUUUCGAAACUGAUAGUUUGGCAAACCCUAAAAUUGCUCUUAUUUUCGUAAAUCAUGCUUAAGAGGAAACCAUCUUCUCCGAACCACGAUCAGGUUGUCUGAAUUCGAUCGUUAUAGAUUGUGAAAGCUAAGGAGCAGUUAUAUUAGAUGGAAAGGCGGAAAUUUAUGUGUACAUGCUGAAGCAGCACAAGACAUUGGGACAGCAUCUCGGAAUAUUAAAUCAGUUGGAGAUGAUGGUAGUGAUAUAUUGUGGAGGAAGUUCAACAUCAAUGACUGUGGCGCAACAAGGUGAAGUUACUUGUCAUGCUUCUAUGGAAGAUGCAAAUGUAGUGGUCCAAAUAAGUGGGUAUUCUAUUAGCAUUGAUUUGGAUAACAAAACAAGUCGGUCAAUUAGUGCAGGUACGGACAAUGUCAGUUCAGCAAACGAACAAGGUUGUAUUGCAGCAAUAGAGGCACCUAGAGUUGGGAUGGUGUUUGGAAGUUGGGAGGAAAUCAAGAUAUAUUAUCGAUAAUAUGGGAAGCAGCAAGAAUUAGGUGUGAUAAGGCCUUCUUGUCAGUGGAAGGAGAAGAACGAAGACCAAAGGAGCAUAAGAUGGAAGUGUGAAUGCGCAGGGAAACCAGACAUGAGGCGAGGGCAACAGAGGAAGGGAAUUUCUGUGAGCAGAAAUAGGGAUGAUGUGUCUGAAGAAGAAUAACCAUUAAUCUACGGGUUGGCGAGCUUUGCAGGACAAAGAGAUGUGAGUGCAGUGCAAUGGUUUAUGCAAAGGCCCUGCCAGAUGGAAGUUGACUUUUGAGCAAAGUGGUUCUGGAGCACACAAAUCACAAUCUCGAGCCUAACAUAUGUAGGGACAUAAAGCAGAAUAACGAAGUAUUGCCAGGUCAGAAAAGGAGAAAGUUUUCCCCAAAAGAAGCAGGUUUGAUGGUACCCCAAAAUGCACAACUACGUGGCAAAUAAAAAAGAUAGCUUUAAUCAUAUGACAGCUAGAAAGAUAGACAUGCAUUAUGCUACAAUGGGGGAAAGAUGAUUGAAGUUAAUGGAUGGAGAUGCAAAUGCAAUCGUGAGACAUUUCACGAGAUGCACCACUGUAAUCAGAACUUUUUCCAUCUGAUUAGGCAUGAAGAAAAUGGUGUUUGGAAGAUGUGUUGUGGGUUGAUGCAAGUAGGGCAGCAUACGAAGAGUUUUGUGAUGUGGACCAUGUGGUAUGUUUUGAUAAAACUUGUCUGACGAGUGAGUAUGACUUGCCAUUGGUGAAGUUUGUUGAGAUUAACAAUCAUGGGAAAAGUGAAAACAAUCUUGUUUGGCUGUGCAUUGGUGUCGUACGAGGAAAUGGAGAUGUUUGAAUGGGUGUUUAGAACAUGGUUGCUGUGCAUGGGUGAUAGAUCACCACAGGUCAUUCUAACUGAUCGAGCUUCUUCCUUGAGGAAGGCUUUGGCGACAAGGAUGCCACUUGCCAGAGACGAAGCAUAUAUGGUCUUUAUGGUACAUUGUGCAGAAUUUCACCAAGAACUUAAGAUCACUUCCAAGGUACCAAAAGUUUAACAAGGAAUUGAAGAAUGCAAUUUGUAGCUUCAAUACAGCUGAUGAGUUUGAGAGACGUUGGAUAGGUGUGAUUGAAGAAUGUCAACUUCAGGAAAAUGAAUGACUAUGAUGCUUGUUUGAGGAGAUAUAGUUCCCUGCUAACAUAGAACACUUGAUCUUGGCCGGAAUUAGGUCAACAAUGAGGGUGGAGAGAAUGUAAAUAUUUUUGAUGGAUUUGUUAAAAAGACACCAAGUUGAGUGAGUUUAUUGAGGGGGUAUUGCUUUGGCAUGGAGAAGAGGGUUGGAUAUAGAAGAGCAAGAGACUGCAAAUGCAGACAGUGAAUGUUAUGUAAGAGGUUUGGCCACAAGCUUUGAAGUUGAGACUUGAGCGUGUAUUCCAGAAGUUAUACACGGAUGUCAAAUUCAGGGAGUUGCAAUUUGAGUAUCGGGGUCUGCUUUAUUGCAUCAGUCGUGGAAAGAUGACUGUUUCAGACACAGAGGCAGAGCAUAUACUAGAGGACAGAGUAUGGGUUGAGGUGCCGAGGAGUGUAAGCAUUCUUGCUGAUGAGAGAAGAAAUUAUCGAGUGAGGUUUAACACUAUGACAAAUGAGGUUUCAUGUGAAUGCAAGCUGUUUGAACACUGAGAAAUUUCGUGUAGGCAUAGUAUACGCGUCUAUGAUUUGCACUAUGUGUCCCCGGUCCCAGACAACUUCAUUCUUAGACAUUGGCGGAGAGACAUACCUAGGAAGCACACAAGGACAAAGGUCGCGUACCAUGAUCCUUUAAUCAUAGGAGAAAGUGUAAAGGUACCUGAGAGUGGGAACUAUCCCAUUUUCUACUGCAUCUUGUUUGAUUACCAUGAAUCAUUAUAAUCAAUUUUUUUAUUCCAGAUGAAGCUGUUCGGCGAAGAAGAGGAGCAAAAAGUAUAUUGCUGUCUCUUCUGUAAUUUUGUGCUUCUUACUUCUUAACACCUGCUUCUUAUGCAAAUUGGCCCAUCAUUUACUGCAAGUGGACACCUGUUAUCUGGACUUCGAUUCAGCCGAAUGUAGUACACGAGAGCUAUCAAUAUGGCUCCUAAGAAAUUAUUUUCUUCCGACUGUAGAAGUGUCAGACUGUAAGAUUAUUUUCUUCUGACUGUAGAAGUGUCUGACUGUACACAAGAGCUAUCAAAUCCAGUCCCUGGUUUUUAUGUCUAAAAUUGGUUCAAUUCAGAACUUCACUCUCAAUUUUCCAUUCUUGGUAAAAUUAUAGGAUGCCAACAGAUGUUACAUUUGUUUUGUCGUCUCAAAGAAUUCCUGUUUUUCUAGAAUCUAGAUUACCAAAGAGUAAUAGAAAUCUAAUUUCCAUAUUGUGCUUUUCUUUAGUAUUUUGGUUAUUGUGUGUAUUAUGCUGUAAAGCAGUUAAAGAGUUUAGCUGGUGAGCUCAAUAAGUUUCUCUAAACUAAACAUACCCUUUAAGUCAGUAGGAUUUUUCUUGAAGAUCCUUUUUAGUUAUCUCGCUGCUAGGCAAUGAUGGAGUGAUGAUGUCAUUCUAAAGCUUCUGUUGAGAAGAUGAUGAAUAAACAUCGUGAACUACAUUUGGGAUCGUAUAUAUAUUUGUUCUAUUAUUAUUUCUUUGGCUCAUGCUUCUAGUAAAGCAACUUUUCGUUGAAUUUCUUUCUUGAUGACUAUUGUCUUUCAACUAAUUCAUGGUUUAUACUUUGUUUACGUUCAAUGGUAAAGUUCUCUGCUCAAACCUAAGUAACGUAGUUUAUACCCGGUUAUGGUAAUAGUGUUGAGUGCAUGACAGCAUGGAUGUUUCAACUUCCUACGGUUUUUCUCCAUUGUCAUUAUUUUUUCAGUUUGACACCCUUUGUUUCUUAGUGUUUUCGAAUGUAUAUUGGGGCAUGGGAAAAAUGAAUAGUUUGGAGGGCUUCCUAAUCUAGCACUUGUAAUAUGAAAAUAUUUGCAUAUCGGAGUGGCAUAUUUUUGUAGUUUGGGCCUUUGAGGAAAUAUAGAAGGGUAUUUGCACAGCUUAUCAUUAAUUUGACCCCUAGUUCCAAAAUGCCAUUAUGAUAUGGACUAUUUGUUUGUCACGAUAAUAAAUUAGGAGUUCCUCUAAGAUCUGAGAUUUUCAUAAGCAUAUGUUGGAGAAUGAAUUAUUUGCUUUUUUACUACUUCCAUAUGAAGGAAGUAUGAAACAAAAAGGAAUAGAGGGAUUACAUUUUUACAACUUACAAGACAUCAAAAUUCAGGCCAUUGAGAUUUUGCCAUAGAUCUUUGUUCUCUGCUGUUUUGUUGGGAAGUUUUUAUUUUUUUGGAGGGUCCUAGCACAUUAAGGUUGAAAAUUCCUUUAUAAAUUAUUGGACAAUAGACUAACAUGUUGGAGUUUCGGAAAAUCUAUGUAGCACAGAAAAUCUCGUAAAGGUUGCUUUUCCUUAUUUCCGAAACUACGAAACCCGAAGAAACUCAUGGGGAAACUUUUUCUUUGAAAGACAAAGUUUUUUCCUUUCAACAAUCUUUAGAGUUAUGAAUUUUUCUUUCUAAAAUCUCUUCAAAAAUAACCCUAUUGACAUUAAUAUCCUCUUUGUUACAUACUUCUUGUUAUUAAUAAACAAAACAGUAUUAGAAAUUCAAGUAAAAUAAUUCAUCUAUUACUUUAGCUUUUGCAUUUGUCAUGUUUCCUAGUUUUACGAAUAUUGCGUGUUUCUAUGGCUUGCUGUAAUCAAAAGAUGAAUUUUUGGAGGAGAAUUGCCACAUCAGUACAACUUUCAAGAUGGCGGGAGUAAUAUGAACAUCAACAUUGACUAUGUAGCAAAUCUGAUCAAGUUGGUGCUGAACCUGGACCUUGGACAUGUCAUGCUGCCAUCAAUGUCUACCUUCCCAUGUGUCAAUCAUUGUUGAGAAUGAGAUUGAAUUGGUUUGAAGCUCUUGCUUAUUGCUGCCAUGUAUCUUUAAUUCUGUUCAAAGAUCUACCCUGCAGAAAAUGAGGGGUUGCCAUCAGAGCUUGCUUUUAGAUGGACAACAAAUGUUUAUAACUGAUGAUAUGUUAUUAUCGCGCAGCGUUGGUCCAACAAUUGGCUUCUGCUAUGGCAUGUUCUAAAGAGAGACAUGACUGGUUUAAAGUGAAGAUAAUGCAGGAUGAAAGUUUCUCUCUUGAGAGGGAUAAGAUAAAGGAGACUCCUUAAAUGAGUCUCAUAAAAUUUGAUCCCAAGAUUUUAUGGAUACAACAUACAAAGUGGGAAGAUAAGUCACUCACCAUCUUAACCUCAUAAUCUGUUCUCUUGGAGCCAGAAUGAUCUCACAUUGUUGUGCUAUACAUUUUGUCUUCCGAGAGAUUGCUAUUAUGAUAAGUAAUUACACAGAAAAUAUCCUUUAUAAUAAAAUAAAUGCAAGAUUACCUUAUUUUAUGUCAUAAAAGGGUUGCUUUUAUAUUUGUAAAGAGGUAAUCUUAUAUUUGAAAAGGAUCACUUAUAAUUAUAAUAAAGUGAUCUUUUAUGAGUAAAAAAUUACCUCCAUCUUAUCAUAGGUUAUUGUAAUAUUUAAUAAUAUAUAUGUUCGUCUAGUUUUAACAUUUGGCACUUCUUUUACCUGCUAAAUUAUAUUGUUAUCAUAAUUUUAUAUGCAAUCAUGGUAA
Molecule: long non-coding RNA, 6477 nt
Organism: Beta vulgaris subsp. vulgaris (sugar beet)
Lineage: Eukaryota; Viridiplantae; Streptophyta; Magnoliopsida; Caryophyllales; Amaranthaceae
Exons: 6
Source: RefSeq, a predicted model, not a curated record